CAUAAAUAAUGUUGUAUGUUGUUGUCGUAUCGCGUAGCAUGAAAACUUCAGCCUCUCUUCAGGUGUGCCCUCCUCAAUUUGAAUUCACUGGGAUCUCCUUUUGCUGAUUUUCUGGAAAGCCAGGUGAUUGCUGAUCGGGUGCACCUUGGACCUGUGAGCCAGGGGAGAUAAAGCUCCACUUGGUCAAACCACUUGCUCUUUUCUUCUCUGCAAUCCAGAUGUCAACCAUGGCCUGACCACCCUGACUGCCACAUCUUGCUUUGAGUUAUUUAUUUUACAGAGACACACCUUGCACAUUUAAAUAGUUAUGUUUAGUUCACUCUUUUGUUAAAUAAAUCACUUUUGAUUAUUUAUGCUGCCUCGUUCCCUCUUUUGUCG
Molecule: long non-coding RNA, 378 nt
Organism: Micropterus salmoides (largemouth bass)
Lineage: Eukaryota; Metazoa; Chordata; Actinopteri; Centrarchiformes; Centrarchidae
Exons: 3
Source: RefSeq, a predicted model, not a curated record